CAGGUCACUCGCAAAGUGCGGAUGCUUUGUAUCGAAAUCUUUCCACACUAUGAAGUCGGCCGGAUGGCUAAGUAUGUUCUCCUUCGAAAUCUGCUACUUAUGAUGCCAUCUCCUUUUUUUAGCUAUUUUUGUGGACAUAUACAAUCUUUGAAGUCUUGAAAUCAAUAAAAAAUACCUCACAAAUUUUUGAGGUAUCUUCUUUGCUUUUUUGUUAUCGAUUUUGUUUCUAAGCUCACCGUAUUUUGGAUAUUUAGUUAUCUGUUCGUUAUCCUUA
This 274-nucleotide long non-coding RNA is filed under the name Elaeis guineensis (African oil palm). RNAcentral describes it as "long non-coding RNA (EGUI_LNC028352)". The record is from RNAcentral. Lineage: Eukaryota; Viridiplantae; Streptophyta; Magnoliopsida; Arecales; Arecaceae.